UACGGGGGGGGCAAGCGUUGUUCGGAAUUAUUGGGCGUAAAGAGCUCGUAGGCGGUCUGUCACGUCGGCUGUGAAAACCCGAGGCUCAACCUCGGGCCUGCAGUCGAUACGGGCAAACUAGAGUGUUGCAGGGGAGACUGGAAUUCCUGGUGUAGCGGUGAAAUGCGCAGAUAUCAGGAGGAACACCGGUGGCGAAGGCGGGUCUCUGGGCAACAACUGACGCUGAGGAGCGAAAGCGUGGGGAGCGAACAGG
RNAcentral lists this ribosomal RNA (253 nucleotides) under uncultured bacterium. RNAcentral describes it as "partial 16S ribosomal RNA". It matches the Rfam family "Bacterial small subunit ribosomal RNA", at positions 524 to 776 of the family's 1533-position model. The record is from RNAcentral.